UACGGAGGGUGCAAGCGUUGUUCGGAAUCACUGGGCGUAAAGCGCGUGUAGGCGGCUUCUUAAGUCUGGUGUGAAAGCCCGGGGCUUACCCCCGGAAGGGCACUGGAGACUGGGAGGCUAGAGUACCGGAGAGGAAGGUGGAAUUCCUGGUGUAGCGGUGAAAUGCGUAGAUAUCAGGAGGAACACCGGUGGCGAAGGCGGCCUUCUGGACGGCUACUGACGCUGAGACGCGAAAGCGUGGGGAGCAAACAGG
This 253-nucleotide ribosomal RNA is filed under the name uncultured bacterium. RNAcentral describes it as "partial 16S ribosomal RNA". It matches the Rfam family "Bacterial small subunit ribosomal RNA", at positions 524 to 776 of the family's 1533-position model. The record is from RNAcentral.